This 291-nucleotide unclassified non-coding RNA is filed under the name uncultured fungus. Its description in RNAcentral is "sequence contains ITS2". Lineage: Eukaryota; Fungi. The record is from RNAcentral.
AACGCAUAUUGCACCCUCUGGUUAUUCCGGAGGGUAUACCUGUUUGAGUGUCAUUAAUAUAUCAAACCAAUCAAAAGUUUUGGCUGGUCUUGGAUGUUGAGGGUUGCUGGAUUUUAAUGAUCAGCUCCCUUUGAAUACAUUAGCUUGGAAUCUAUAAGCCAUUUCAACUUAGGCUAAUAUGAAUAUUGAAUGCUUUUGAUGAAAUGUGUUUGUCUGAGCUUAUAACUGUCUUAUAGACAAUUUGAUCAUGAUCAUGACCUCAAAUCAGGUAGGACUACCCGCUGAACUUAA